RNAcentral lists this ribosomal RNA (253 nucleotides) under uncultured bacterium. RNAcentral describes it as "partial 16S ribosomal RNA". It matches the Rfam family "Bacterial small subunit ribosomal RNA", at positions 524 to 776 of the family's 1533-position model. The record is from RNAcentral.
UACAGAGGGUGCGAGCGUUGUUCGGAAUUACUGGGCGUAAAGGGCUCGUAGGUGGCCAACUAAGUCAGACGUGAAAUCCCUCGGCUUAACCGGGGAACUGCGUCUGAUACUGGAUGGCUUGAGUUUGGGAGAGGGACGCGGAAUUCCAGGUGUAGCGGUGAAAUGCGUAGAUAUCUGGAGGAACACCGGUGGCGAAGGCGGGUCUCUGGGCAGUAACUGACGCUGAGGAGCGAAAGCGUGGGGAGCAAACAGG